RNAcentral lists this ribosomal RNA (301 nucleotides) under uncultured bacterium. RNAcentral describes it as "partial 16S ribosomal RNA". It matches the Rfam family "Bacterial small subunit ribosomal RNA", at positions 509 to 807 of the family's 1533-position model. The record is from RNAcentral.
CAGUAGCCGCGGGAAAACGAAGGGUGCAAGCGUUACUCGGAAUUACUGGGCGUAAAGCGUGCGUAGGUGGUGGUUUAAGUCCGUUGUGAAAGCCCUGGGCUCAACCUGGGAAUUGCAGUGGAUACUGGGUCACUAGAGUGUGGUAGAGGAUAGUGGAAUUUCCGGUGUAGCAGUGAAAUGCGUAGAGAUCGGAAGGAACAUCUGUGGCGAAGGCGACUAUCUGGGCCAACACUGACACUGAGGCACGAAAGCGUGGGGAGCAAACAGGAUUAGAUACCCGAGUAGUCCCUGUCUCUUAUAC